Molecule: long non-coding RNA, 1177 nt
Filed under: Camponotus floridanus (Florida carpenter ant)
Lineage: Eukaryota; Metazoa; Arthropoda; Insecta; Hymenoptera; Formicidae
Description: uncharacterized LOC105253520, transcript variant X1
Source: RNAcentral
UUAUAUUUUUCUUGCGCGCAAACGACAGUCGCGCGCAGUCAUAUUCGUCUCGCUCUUCCGUUCUCUGCUCCGUUAAUAUAUAUUCCGAUACUUCGAAAAUUCAUUUUUAUCACAACUCUUUAAAUCGUUCGUCCUCACAAUGAGGUUGACAGUGGUCAUAGGUCUACUGUCACUCUGCAGUUUUCUUUAAUUUGGUUUAUCCGAGAGAAUAUUCUUGAACAUGUUGGGAAUGAUAACGGAGAGCGGGUUAUCCCGCAGAAGCUCAUGUUAUAACGACGGAGGAUGGCUAUCUCUUGUCGUGACAUCGUAUCCCAGGUGGCAACAAUUCUCGACCCGUACUGAUGCUGCAUGCUUUCUUAUGCACCUCCGCCGAUUGGGUCCUCCUUGGCAAGGACAAAGCACUCGCUUAAUCAAUUAGGGGAUCAGGGAUACGAUGUUUGGUUAGGCAAUUAUCGUGGUAAUACUUAUUCGAGGACGCAUAUUUUCUUAUCUCCGUCGGAUUUAAAAUUUUGGGAUUUCAGCUUUCAUGAAUUGGGCAUGUAUGAUUUACCUGCAAUGAUUACAUUUAUCACAAAUAUGACAUCUCAGCCAUUGCACGCGUACAUUGGUCAUUCGAUGAGCGCAACUGGUUUUUAUAAUGGCAUCAGAACGUCCAGAAAUGGUUCAAAUGGUGAAAAUGAUGAUCAAUUUCGCCCCAGGAGUCUUUAUAAAUAAUGUGAAAAGCCCGAUAUUAAACUAUAUUGCACCUUUCUGGAGAAAAAUAAAGAUGAUAGUGCGACUUUUUUUUCACGACGAAUUCCUGCCACAGAGCAAUUUCUUGAGAUUUCUUGUGAAAUACGCUUGCGACCAGAAUCUCGCAGAGCGAAAAUUAUGCGCCGACUUCAUAUUUGCGGUCUGCGGUUUCGACCGCGAGCAAUUUGACUACGAUGUCAAAAGGCUUUACCGCAUAUUGCCGAAUGUAGUGGACAUAUACGAAGUACCGUUGCCCAAAUUUAAUCACGUGGAUUUUGUAUGGGCCAAGGAUGCGCCCAAACUCGUGUACGAGAGAGCACUCAAACUUAUAAAUGCGGAAAAUCCAAAUAAUAUUACGUUGGUAUAAGGUUAUUUUGAUAAUCAAAAUAAAUGAUGAAUAUUGCAUACUAUAUCUUUAGUAAUUUUAAUAUGAUCGAUAGCAGUC